CAACUUUCAACAAUGGAUCUCUUGGCUCUCGCAUCGAUGAAGAACGCAGCGAAAUGCGAUACGUAAUGUGAAUUGCAGAAUUCCGUGAAUCAUUGAAUUUUUGAACGCACCUUGCGCCCCUUGGUAUUCCGAGGGGCAUGCCUGUUUGAGUGUAAUUG
This 158-nucleotide ribosomal RNA is filed under the name Hygrocybe andersonii. RNAcentral describes it as "5.8S ribosomal RNA". It matches the Rfam family "5.8S ribosomal RNA". Rfam says of the family: 5.8S ribosomal RNA (5.8S rRNA) is a component of the large subunit of the eukaryotic ribosome. It is transcribed by RNA polymerase I as part of the 45S precursor that also contains 18S and 28S rRNA. Functionally, it is thought that 5.8S rRNA may be involved in ribosome translocation. The record is from RNAcentral. Lineage: Eukaryota; Fungi; Basidiomycota; Agaricomycetes; Agaricales; Hygrophoraceae.